AUUGAACGCUGGCGGCAUACCUUACACAUGCAAGUCGAACGGCAGCACGGGAGCAAUCCUGGUGGCGAGUGGCGAACGGGUGAGUAAAGUAUCGGAACGUGCCCAGUCGUGGGGGAUAACGUAGCGAAAGUUACGCUAAUACCGCAUACGAUCUAUGGAUGAAAGCGGGGGAUCGCAAGACCUCGCGCGAUUGGAGAGGCGGAUAUCAGAUUAGGGAGUUGGGGGGGUAAAGGCUCACAAAGCCGACGAUCUGUAGCUGGUCUGAGAGGACGACCAGCCACACUGGGACUGAGACACGGCCCAGACUCCAACGGGAGGCAGCAGUGGGGAAUUUUGGACAAUGGGCGAAAGCCUGAUCCAGCCAUGCCGCGUGCAGGAUGAAGGCCUUCGGGUUGUAAACUGCUUUUGUACGGAACGAAAAGGUUUGGCCUAAUAAGCUGAGCUCAUGACGGUACCGUAAGAAUAAGCACCGGCUAACUACGUGCCAGCAGCCGCCGUAA
This 500-nucleotide ribosomal RNA is filed under the name uncultured bacterium. RNAcentral's name for it is "partial 16S ribosomal RNA". It matches the Rfam family "Bacterial small subunit ribosomal RNA", at positions 29 to 523 of the family's 1533-position model. The record is from RNAcentral.